Jatropha curcas is the source of this 209-nucleotide non-coding RNA. The record is from Rfam. NCBI's taxonomy places the organism in Eukaryota, Viridiplantae, Streptophyta, Magnoliopsida, Malpighiales, Euphorbiaceae.
GCGACCUUACUUGAACAGGAUCUGUUCAUUAGGCUCGUACCUCUAUAUCCUUGAGUUCAAAGGAGAUAGGAAUCCAAGUCUGGUUGACGAACCAUGACUUUCUAACCAUAGCGUGAGUAAUAGCCUUGUAGUCCCUGUAUAGGCAGUGGAGGAUCGUCCUCAGUCAAUGUUGAAUGGCCUGAGAUGGUCACAGAGUAGUCUGACAGACU